Molecule: long non-coding RNA, 321 nt
Filed under: Pan troglodytes (chimpanzee)
Lineage: Eukaryota; Metazoa; Chordata; Mammalia; Primates; Hominidae
Description: long non-coding RNA NONPTRT004008
Source: RNAcentral
UUUAUUUUGCAGGUGUGCUAUUUUGUAGCUCUCUACUACAACGUCAUCAUUGGCUGGAGUUUGUUUUAGAUUUCUGUGGGCAAAUCACACAUAACACUUCAUUCUAGGUAGUUAAAUAUUAGUGAAAAGUGACACUUUAAAAGUGUGCUUACAUUUUUAAAAAGACAAAUAAAAACAGUGUUUUAUAGUGAAAUCUAAGGUUAAUUAUAAUCUUUCCUUAUUUCAACAAGGUCUUUAAAAUUUUUGUGAAUACUUAAAAGUCCUUUCUUUUUGCCCUUUAUUCAAUCAGCCCUAAUGUUUCAGUUCUCUAAUUACCAAUUA